GACGAACGCUGGCGGCGUGCUUAACACAUGCAAGUCGAACGAAAAGAGGGAAAGAGCUUGCUCUUUCCGGAAUUGAGUGGCAAACGGGUGAGUAACACGUAAACAACCUGCCUUCAGGAUGGGGACAACAGACGGAAACGACUGCUAAUACCGAAUACGCUUGGGAGACCGCAUGAUCUUCCAAGGAAAGGGUGGCCUCUACUUGUAAGCUAUCGCCUGAAGAGGGGUUUGCGUCUGAUUAGGCAGUUGGUGAGGUAACGGCCCACCAAACCUACGAUCCAGUAGCCGGUCUGAGAGGUUGACCGGCCACAUUGGGACUGAGACACGGCCCCAGACUCCUACGGGAGGCAGCAGUGGGGAAUAUUGGGCAAUGGGCGCAAGCCUGACCCAGCAACGCCGCGUGAAGGAAGAAGGCUUUCGGGUUGUAAACUUCUUUUGUCGGGGACGAAACAAAUGACGGUACCCGACGAAUAAGCCACGGCUAACUACGUG
This 492-nucleotide ribosomal RNA is filed under the name uncultured bacterium. RNAcentral describes it as "bacterial SSU rRNA". It matches the Rfam family "Bacterial small subunit ribosomal RNA", at positions 28 to 507 of the family's 1533-position model. The record is from RNAcentral.